Nerophis ophidion (straightnose pipefish) is the source of this 1549-nucleotide long non-coding RNA. RefSeq lists it as uncharacterized. The transcript has 4 exons. The record is from RefSeq and is a predicted model, not a curated record. Lineage: Eukaryota; Metazoa; Chordata; Actinopteri; Syngnathiformes; Syngnathidae.
UAGACAGACAACAUUCACACUCACAUUCACACACUAGGGACCAUUUAGUGUUGCCAAUCAACCUAUCCCCAGGUGCAUGUCUUUGGAAGUGGGAGGAAGCCGGAGUACCCGGAGGGAACCCACGCAUUCACGGGGAGAACAUGCAAACUCCACACAGAAAGAUCCCGAGCCUGGAUUUGAACCCAGGACUGCAGUACCUUCGUAUUGUGAGGCAGACGCACUAACCCCUCUGCCACCGUGAAGCCCGGCAUCAAGGUCAAAAAGUUGUGUUGUCCUCUGGCGGGGGAAAGAAGACUGUGAGACUAAUGACGUAUGCAGAUCCCAACCACAGAUCAGCAAGUACCAGAAAGUGUGGUCUGUAAUACAAACAAAGAAGUGCACACCGUAAAUGAACGUUUGAUCCUUUUAUGAGUGGAAACAGAGGGACUUCCAAGCGAACACAACGCCGAGGCCUCGUCAGGUGAAUUCUAUUCCCUGCCUUGUUUGAGUAGAAACAGCAGCAAAUAAAAAGUACAAAGUGUAGACCUCUUGUUACUUCGGGUUUGAUGCCAGACCUCCUGGGAAGCCGCGAUGCUGCCUUGUUUACAUGUGCAGCGGGAAGCAAAGGAAGGGAAAUACAUGGAGAAAAAAAAUAAAUUAAAAAAAGCGACAGGUGAUAUAAGAGUCGUUGGCAGACUCUAAUGAGAGCUGAAAGAGAGCUAAUCUAAUUAAGCUCGUCCUAGUCCUGCUCUGGGUUUGUUGACGCCGCUCUCGGCUGUUACGUAACAUCGCUUUGUUGCCUUCCUCGGAAUACUCUCCAUGUUUGUUUUGUUUGCGCAGGGAAGACGAGAAAAGCUUCCUUCGAAAUCACACUUUUUUUUUUCCCCCCCUCUCCUUUCAUCCGCUUUGAUUCGGCAAGCGCCGACAAGGAGCACAAAGUGAUUUAGAAACCACGCCGUGGAUAUUUGGAAAUUACUUUAACACAGCGAAUAAACGUUAAAAUAAAAAAACAUUCUUUGAAGCAUUUAAGUCUCAUCUUAAAACUCAUCUGUAUACUCUAGCCUUUAAAUAGACCUCCUUUUUAGACCAGUUGAUCUGCCGCUUCUUUUCUUUCUCCUAUGUCCCCCCCUCCCUUGUGGAGGGGGUCCGGUCCGAUGACCAUGGAUGAAGUACUGACUGUCCAGAGUCGAGACCCAGGAUGGACCGCUCGUCGGGACCCAGGAUGGACCGCUCGCCUGUAUCGGUUGGGGACAUCUCUACGCUGCUGAUCCGCUUGAGAUGGUUUCCUGUGGACGGGACUCUCACUGCUGUCUUGGAGCCACUAUGGAUUGAACUUUCACAGUAUCAUGUUAGACCCGCUCGACAUCCAUUGCUUUCAGUCCCCUAGAGGGGGGGUUGCCCACAUCUGAGGUCCUCUCCAAGGUUUCUCAUAGUCAGCAUUGUCACUGGCGUCCCACUGAAUGUGAAUUCUCCCUGCCCACUGGGUGUGAGUUUUCCUUGCCCUUUUGUGGGUUCUUCCGAGGAUGUUGUAGUCGUAAUGAUUUGUGCAGUCCUUUGAGACAUUUGUGAU